GAUGAAGAACGUAGUGAAAUGCGAUAAGUAAUGUGAAUUGCAGAAUUCAGUGAAUCAUCGAAUCUUUGAACGCACAUUGCGCCCCCUGGUAUUCCGGGGGGCAUGCCUGUUCGAGCGUCAUUUCAACCCUCAAGCUCUGCUUGGUAUUGAGUCCAUGUCAGCAAUGGCAGGCUCCAAAAUCAGUGGCGGCGCCGCUGGGUCCUGAACGUAGUAAUAUCUCUCGUUACAGGUGCUCGGCGUGCUUCUGCCAAAACCCCAAUUUUUCUAUGGUUGACCUCGGAUCAGGUGGGGAUACCCGCUGAACUUAAGCAUAUCAAUAAGCGGAGGA
RNAcentral lists this unclassified non-coding RNA (328 nucleotides) under soil metagenome. RNAcentral describes it as "partial contains 5.8S ribosomal RNA, internal transcribed spacer 2, and large subunit ribosomal RNA". The stretch from base 1 to 120 matches the Rfam family "5.8S ribosomal RNA", at positions 35 to 154 of the family's 154-position model. The record is from RNAcentral.